Non-coding RNA from Megalopta genalis, 1743 nucleotides. The record is from RefSeq and is a predicted model, not a curated record. NCBI's taxonomy places the organism in Eukaryota, Metazoa, Arthropoda, Insecta, Hymenoptera, Halictidae.
CUCAAUAAAUUCUUUAUUGCGUACUCAUAAAUUUUACAAACGUAUAAAAUAACCAAUAAAUAAACCAAUAAACUGCAUACCUUCAUGUUCGUAGAUACACACGGGACUUUUAGUCGGAACAUUUUUUCCUGAAAUAAAAAUUUUACGAGCUAUACCAACGGCAACGGAGUUAUACGACUCUUCCUUGAGAACUUGCUGUGACAAAGCGGAUCCGAGACACAUUUCGCCGCGUUACGAGGAAAGAAAGGCUUGGGCAAAACGCCGCACCGCGCCAACGAGCGAUCUUCCAGGAGUUAAUUAAGGUCCAUUAAGCAUCCCUCGAAGGCCCCGAAGCUCCCGUCGAACGAGCUCCGCUCUUUGGUCGUCCGAAAGGACGCGACAUCGUAGAUUAAUCCGGAUAUCUGGUAGCCUAGUUUUUCUCGUCCGAUCGGAAGAAAAGGAAAGGAAGAAAGUGGCCGGCGCGGUAGCACGCGCGCGAGGCCGAGCCCCGUCGACGAGGACGCCGGACACCGUGACGAAGGGAGACAGAGAGAAAGGAAGAACGACUCGGUGGCGUGCGAACAGCAGGUGCACGACCUCUUCAUGAAAACCACCGCUCCUCGGGCCUGUCCUCCUCGUUCCUUGGCCACUCGUUCCAUCCUCGGCGGAGCGGUGCAUCCUCGUUCUCCUCUCAUCCUCUUCUCAUCCUCAUCAUCGUGCUUCUCUCAUUCUGUAGGUCCGCCGUCCUCGCGUCAACCACUUCCGAUUCUUUUCAUAAUUAGCGGCCGCUGAAAGAACGGCUUUAAUGCGUGCCGAUUAUUGUCGUUCGACGUCGCCCUUGCUAUUCUGACCGAUGUCAACUGCAGGAGAUGCAAAAACCAACGGCCGACGCGACGCCGAGCCCCUCUCGGUACAGGCUCCGGACCCCGCCUGUCAAUUAUAGGAAUAUCAUACUCCGUCGCGUACCAGGCUACCCCGACCUCGAUGAUUGUUAUUACGGCACUGGUAAAUUCGUACUCUUGUGGCGUGCACGAUCAUCCGGGAUUUCAACAAAAUCUCUUAAUACCGAUCACUUAAUUCCGCCACUCCCGGGGCCUGUAUUAUCGUAAUGCCGCUUGCCGCGUACACUUUCUGCAUAGGAAUUUAUCGCUAAUAAGUGGAAUUAACUUUGUCUAGUGAUAAUUGUGGUUGUACCGUAUGUUUUCCAACUUCUUGUCGCAUUUGACGACUUGCGAUCGCGAUUUACGUUUUACGUUCCUUGCGCGUACAUAGUUGUCAAGUCUGUGUCACAUCAGGCAGCAUAUUAUUGUAUAAAUAGUUUUAAUGUUGUUUAAAUAACAGGUACUGAUGAAUGAAGGAUAAGAAAUAUAUUUUGCAGUACUCCAUCUACACGUAUCCUAUGAUUUAGGAUAUAUAAGUUAAUACAAUUCUUAAAAGUUACUUUAACCCCACUUGAUUCUUUAAAUCCAAUUUCUUCAGGUCGAAACAAUAAGUUGUUAUGAAAAACGGUUGUAUUCCAGAACGUACAAACGACGAAACAACAGACAAUAUAGUUAUUAUGUUAUAGAGGUUCCACAUAAUAAAUAAUAAUGAAAACAAUAAAUUGUUACAGAAAGCUGUUGUAUUAUAGAAAGUAUAAACGAUCAUUUUGUUAGAUCUCGCGUAUAAUAAACAGUAAAGAAAAAUUGUACACAAAUUAAAUUGUUUCGAAAAACUGUUGUAUAGUAGAACGAACAAACUGCAGACAAUGCGCUCAUUGUUAAA